CCCUUAGAUGUCCUGAGCCGCACGCGCGCUACAAUGAUGCAACCAACGAGUGCUGCUCCUUGGCCGAGAGGCCCGGGGAACCUUGCAAACUGCAUCGUGCUGGGGAUAGAUGAUUGCAAUUCUUCAUCUUGAACGAGGAAUGCCUUGUAAGCGUGAGUCAUCAACUCGCGCUGAAUACGUCCCUGCCCUUUGUACACACCGCCCGUCGCUUCUACCGAUUGAAUUAAAUGAUGAAGUUUUCGGAUUUGAACUGAGCAUUUUCAGAGGGAUUUAUUCCUUUGUUAUCAGAUCAACAAAGUCUAUUGAAUCUUUUUAUUUAGAGGAAGAAGAAGUCGUAACA
RNAcentral lists this ribosomal RNA (340 nucleotides) under uncultured eukaryote. RNAcentral describes it as "partial 18S ribosomal RNA". It matches the Rfam family "Eukaryotic small subunit ribosomal RNA", at positions 1470 to 1796 of the family's 1831-position model. The record is from RNAcentral.